RNAcentral lists this long non-coding RNA (394 nucleotides) under Mytilus galloprovincialis (Mediterranean mussel). Lineage: Eukaryota; Metazoa; Mollusca; Bivalvia; Mytilida; Mytilidae. The record is from RNAcentral.
CGUCCACAAUAUGUGGGGCCUACCUAGACUUUUAUUGUAAUUAACAUAUAGCUAGCAAUCGCACUAGGUACAGAUAAAUAUACUAUCAAAAAUAUUUCGAAGAAAUAGUUCAUCUUUGAUAUAUGUGGAGGGCUUAAAUUGCCAUUUCGAAAUAUAUCGAUAUUUCGGGGAAAAGCGAUUUGCCAUAUUUCCGAGUCCAUCCUUUUCAUCUUUUUUAUAUAGAUAUUAUAAGCUGUUAUGUAUUUACAAAUGACAUUUAUCUACGGACAAUCAUACAAAGAACACAUAUUGCAAAAGAAUACCGGAGAUCUUCCCCAAUUAACAUAAAACUUUUCUAGACUAUAAAUUUCAAUAACAUUUGACUCACAUUUAUACGAGGAAUAGUUACUGUUAA